AUMAUGCAAGUCGACGCGUUGGCCCAAUUGAUUGAUGGUGCUUGCACCUGAUUGAUUUWGGUYGCCARCGAGUGGCGGACGGGUGAGUAACACSUAGGUAACCUGCCCAGAAGCGGGGGACAACAUUUGGAAACAGAUGCUAAUACCGCAUAACAACGUUGUUCGCAUGAACAACGCUUAAAAGAUGGCUUCUCGCUAUCACUUCUGGAUGGACCUGCGGUGCAUUAGCUUGUUGGUGGGGUAAYGGCCUACCAAGGCGAUGAUGCAUAGCCGAGUUGAGAGACUGAUCGGCCACAAUGGGACUGAGACACGGCCCAUACUCCUACGGGAGGCAGCAGUAGGGAAUCUUCCACAAUGGGCGCAAGCCUGAUGGAGCAACACCGCGUGAGUGAAGAAGGGUUUCGGCUCGUAAAGYUCUGUUGUUAAAGAAGAACACGUAUGAGAGUAACUGUUCAUACGUUGACGGUAUUUAACCAGAAAGUCACGGCUAACUACGUGCCAGCAGCCGCGGUAAUACGUAGGUGGCAAGCGUUAUCCGGAUUUAUUGGGCGUAAAGAGAGUGCAGGCGGUUUUCUAAGUCUGAUGUGAAAGCCUUCGGCUUAACCGGAGAAGUGCAUCGGAAACUGGAUAACUUGAGUGCAGAAGAGGGUAGUGGAACUCCAUGUGUAGCGGUGGAAUGCGUAGAUAUAUGGAAGAACACCAGUGGCGAAGGCGGCUACCUGGUCUGCAMCUGACGCUGAGACUCGGAAAGCAUGGGUAGCGAACAGGAUUAGAUACCCUGGUAGUCCAUGCCGUAAACCGAUGAGUGCUAGGUG
This 815-nucleotide ribosomal RNA is filed under the name Limosilactobacillus fermentum. RNAcentral's name for it is "bacterial SSU rRNA". It matches the Rfam family "Bacterial small subunit ribosomal RNA", at positions 52 to 822 of the family's 1533-position model. Lineage: Bacteria; Bacillati; Bacillota; Bacilli; Lactobacillales; Lactobacillaceae. The record is from RNAcentral.